This 70-nucleotide transfer RNA is filed under the name Elephantulus brachyrhynchus (short-snouted elephant shrew). RNAcentral's name for it is "tRNA-Ala". It matches the Rfam family "tRNA". From Rfam's summary of the family: Transfer RNA (tRNA) molecules are approximately 80 nucleotides in length. Their secondary structure includes four short double-helical elements and three loops (D, anti-codon, and T loops). The record is from RNAcentral. Lineage: Eukaryota; Metazoa; Chordata; Mammalia; Macroscelidea; Macroscelididae.
AAGGGCUUAGCUUAAUUGAAAGUGUCUGUUUUGCAUACAGGAGAUGUUAGAUGAGGUCUGGCAGUCCUUA